This 1497-nucleotide ribosomal RNA is filed under the name Triticum aestivum (bread wheat). Its description in RNAcentral is "partial small subunit ribosomal RNA". The record is from RNAcentral. Lineage: Eukaryota; Viridiplantae; Streptophyta; Magnoliopsida; Poales; Poaceae.
AUGUCAGGAAAUUUUGGUAGAGGGUUUGGGGCUCAAAGAUUCAAUAGAGGGGGAGGAAAUGGAAAUAUAGGAGGAAGAUUCAACAAUACUGAGAAGGUGGGGAGAUGGAAUGGAGGGAGGCAUGCCUUCCCAAGGGGAUCUGGGAGUUUUGGGAGAGGGGGGAAUCGUUCUGGUACUGUGAAGGAUAUGGGCAGAGAUGCAGAGGAUGAAGACCCCAGAUCUGAGAGGAUCGAAGAGAAUCUGGUGUGGCAAGCUAAGGCAGGGAAAAAAGAUGCAGGGGGAGAGACUCCAAGGAUGGCUUGCGGUGAAAGAGAAGGUGCUGUAAUGAAAAAAGAGAGGAGCAACAAUCAGAUCUCUCAGUCAAAUCAGCAACAGCAGCAAUUGCUUUUGACUUCGCUGCUCUCUCAGCUGGUUCAGGGGAUGCAGGGCAGUGAGAAGGCCCAGGUGGAAGGAAUGGCUGGAAAUCGAAUUGGUAACAUGCUUGGAAAAGAAAGUCACAGAAAAGAGGAGGGAGCCCCUGAUGGGCAACAGAGAGUUGACAAGAUGGUAGAACAGGGAGCUGGACUGGAAAUGAAGAAGCAAGGGGGUAAGAGUGGUUGGCAGCAUGGGUAUGAAGAGAACAAGAGAAACUUUGACAGAUUUAACAAACAGGUAUGUGGUAAGUGUAAAUACCCCAGACACACCACCAAGGAUUGCAGGGUGGGGCACUGCUUGAUCUGUGGCAGAGAGAAUCAUAUUACAGGGGAGUGCAACUUGCUGAAACAGGUUAAACCAGUCCCAAAAUAUGUAGGGUAUGUAGCUAAAGGGCUGGGAAUUCUUCUGGUUCAGAGCUAUAAAGAUGUCCUGAUAGCAGAACAUACCAAUCCUUUGGGGGUGGUGAUCAUAAGAGAAGGAAGCAUUAAUGAGACUAAGCUUGUGAAAACUAUGGAGGAAAUGUUUGACUGGGGCUGGCAAUGGAGAGUGAGGGAAUUUGGAAAGAAUGGAUACAUGAUGAGAUUUCCCAAUAAAGCAAAGUUGGUGGAGCUGGCCAAGUUUAAUGACUUCAAACUGCUGGGGACAGGGGUGGUGAUCAAGGUUCAACCCUGGUCCCUUGAUCAUCAAGCUGUUGGGAAGAUGCACACCAUUUGGGUCAGGCUGGCCGAAGUUCCAGAUUGUUUCAGACACUUUUUGGGUGUUUGUGAGGUGGCUGCUGCAGUUGGACCUGUCCUGGAGAUUGAUAUGGAUAGUAUAAAUGAGGAGAAAAUUAGAGCAAAGUGUGGGAUCAGAGAUGUGGAGAAAAUACCAACUCAAGUGGAAAUCACUUCCCCUGAUCUUCUUAUGUUUAGAAUUGGGGUGGAAGCUGAGAAGAUGGUGGAGAUUGGUUGGUACAAGGAAGAGAAGAGGAGAAAUGGUAGCAGUAAUUUCUCAGAAGGGGGGAGGAAGAGAUUGACAACAGGAAGAGGACUAGAAUGGAGGAUAAUGAACAUAGAGGGGUUUCUCUGGGAUGCUUAUCCCUGA